RNAcentral lists this ribosomal RNA (1129 nucleotides) under wastewater metagenome. RNAcentral's name for it is "bacterial LSU rRNA". It matches the Rfam family "Bacterial large subunit ribosomal RNA", at positions 1776 to 2925 of the family's 2925-position model. The record is from RNAcentral.
GGGGCACAAACCAGGGGGUGGCGACUGUUUACUAAAAACACAGGGCUCUGCGAAGCCGUAAGGCGACGUAUAGGGUCUGACGCCUGCCCGGUGCCGGAAGGUUAAAAGGAGGGGUGCAAGCUCCGAAUUGAAGCCCCGGUAAACGGCGGCCGUAACUAUAACGGUCCUAAGGUAGCGAAAUUCCUUGUCGGGUAAGUUCCGACCUGCACGAAUGGCGUAACGACUUCCCCGCUGUCUCAAAUGUGGACUCAGCGAAAUUGAAUUGUCUGUGAAGAUGCAGACUUCCCGCGGUUAGACGGAAAGACCCCAUGCACCUUUACUAUAGCUUCGCACUGGCAUCAGGAUUGUGAUGUGCAGGAUAGGUGGUAGGCAUUGAAACCGGGACGCCAGUUCCGGUGGAGCCAUCCUUGAGAUACCACCCUUCGCACUCUUGAUGUCUAACCGCGGCCCGUUAUCCGGGUCCGGGACCCUGCGUGGUGGGUAGUUUGACUGGGGCGGUCGCCUCCCAAAGAGUAACGGAGGCGCGCGAAGGUUGGCUCAGAGCGGUCGGAAAUCGCUCGUUGAGUGCAAUGGCAGAAGCCAGCCUGACUGCAAGACUGACAAGUCGAGCAGAGACGAAAGUCGGCCAUAGUGAUCCGGUGGUCCCGAGUGGAAGGGCCAUCGCUCAACGGAUAAAAGGUACGCUGGGGAUAACAGGCUGAUGAUGCCCAAGAGUCCAUAUCGACGGCAUCGUUUGGCACCUCGAUGUCGGCUCAUCUCAUCCUGGGGCUGGAGCAGGUCCCAAGGGUAUGGCUGUUCGCCAUUUAAAGAGGUACGUGAGCUGGGUUUAGAACGUCGUGAGACAGUUCGGUCCCUAUCUGCCGUGGGUGUAGGAUACUUGAGAGGAGUUGCCCCUAGUACGAGAGGACCGGGGUGAACGUUCCACUGGUGGACCAGUUGUCGUGCCAACGGCAGUGCUGGGUAGCUAUGAACGGACAGGAUAAACGCUGAAGGCAUCUAAGCGUGAAGCCCCCCUCAAAACAAGGUAUCCCUUGAGAGCCGUGGAAGACCACCACGUCGAUAGGCCGGAGAUGUAAGCGCAGCAAUGCGUUCAGUUGACCGGUACUAAUGGCUCGAUUGGCUUGAUUUG